CGUCUUCAACCUGCUGCGGGCAAAUCCAGUGAAUGUGGGCAUCAAUACCGCCAGCGGUAAUGAUAUUGCCUUCACCGGCAAUGAUUUCGGUUCCCGGACCAAUGAUGAUGUCGACACCGGGCUGAACAUCCGGGUUGCCGGCCUUGCCGAUCCCGGCAAUGCGGCCAUCACGAAUGCCGAUAUCGGCCUUGAUGAUGCCGGUGUAAUCAAGGAUCAGGGCAUUGGUGAUUACGGUAUCAACCGCACCAUCGGCGCGCGUUGCCUGUGACUGACCCAUGCCAUCACG
This 286-nucleotide small RNA is filed under the name Thalassospira sp. HJ. Its description in RNAcentral is "5' ureB small RNA". It matches the Rfam family "5' ureB small RNA". The record is from Rfam by way of RNAcentral. Lineage: Bacteria; Pseudomonadati; Pseudomonadota; Alphaproteobacteria; Rhodospirillales; Thalassospiraceae.